ACAAUCUGCCAAAGAAGUGAUAAAUUCAGUGAAAAUGUCAAGAAGGUUGUGGAAAUGGGAUUUAAUCCUUUGAAAUUUACCUUCCUGAAUGCACUCCAAGCAUUCUGUCAAACGACUGAAUCAACUCGGCAGCAAAAAAAGGAGAUCUAUAGGAGGUGGGGUUGGUCUGAAGAUGAGAUUCUGUUGGCAUUCAGAACUCGUCCAGAAUGCAUGCGAUUGUCUGAGAAGCAUGUUAUGAAAGUCUUGGAUUUCCUUGUGAACAAAAUGGGUUGGCAACCUGCAGCUGUUUCUAGGGAUCCAGUAGCCAUCUGCCUCAAUUUUGAGAAGAGGGUUGUUCCAAGGUGUUCAGUUGUGAAAGUUCUGUUAUUGAAAGGGUUGGUAAAGAAGGAUAUGAGAUCAUCUACUUUUCUGAAGCUCACUGAGAGGGAUUUCUUGGAUAAGUAUGUAAUCAAACAUCAGGAUAACGUUCCUCAGUUGUUAGAUCUAUAUCAAGGGAAGGUGAGUUUUGCGGAGCUAGGAUUUGGAUCUUAGGAGAUAGUCAUAAGUGGCAUGAAAUGAUUGUAGCAUUUCAACUUUACCAAGUAAUUAUCAUUCUUUCCUUAGUGUUGCUAUAUUUCCAGCACAUCAAUUUUUGCAACUGUUUUGGUAAUUGUCUUCACCAGCUUCUGCUAGUGGUAACCUCAAAUAAUUCCUUACUUUCUUUUUAUUUAUGGUAGGCAAUACCUGCCUUAAGAAUUGAUGGAGAUAUGUAAUCUAUUAUGAAACCAAAAAGUGGGGAUGAAAACCCCAAAGUUUUGUAAUGGUAGUUUUUGAAGUUUGGUUUGCAGACUGCCCUGGUAUCUUGGAGUAUUUAUCAUCCCCCUCCCUCCAUGGGAAGUUUCCCGUAAGGAACUAAAAGGUGUAUUUUGUUUUGCCAAUGAAUAUACGAAUUUAGCUGCAUUUACUCAUUUUCAUUGUGUUUGCAGUUAAUGAAAUGGUGGUUAAACCAAGCUUCUGUUGGGGGUUAUUAAGUCUAUGUCUUUUAGUUUUGUUGUUCAGCUCAAACCAGAAGAGCUUCAGAGCUUUCUUUCUCUCUCUUUCUUUCUUUAAUGUGAAACUAAAAAUUUCACAUUAGGCCUCAGCCUAAUCCAAUAAGUCUCCUCUUUCAAGCUCUAUUUUUUUUUCUUUUUUCCCAGUUUGCUUGUUUUGGGUGUGGUCGAUUCUUGCUUAGUCCCUCUCUUGUGACCUAAUCUUCCAAAAAAAUUUAGGGCCACUACCAUUGAGUUGAAGGUGGCUCCACUGCCAAAAACCAUUAGUGUUUCUCACCCAAAUUCUCUUUGAAGGCAACUUUUCCAUCAAAUUUAAGAUAAUUUUUUAAAUAUUAUAUUUAAUUUAAAUGUUACUUGAUAAAAAUUAUAAUUAAAUUAUAGUUUAGAACUGCAAUUACUAUGAAGAACAACAUAUAGUUUAUACUAUAUAAAAAUCUAAGUUUAAUAAAUUAUUUUAUUGGAAGUUAUAAACCUAUAAUUUCUAAAUGAUAAAUUUUGUUGUGAUGAAAUGACAAGUUAUUCAUUAAAAUAUCACAUAAAUUAAGUAAUGUAAGCUUAGUAUAAAUUUUACAACAACUUUGAUUGUUUGAAAUACAUCAUUAAUACAAUUAAUAGUUGAAAUUACAGAGAUUGAAUAGAAAGAGAGAUUGGAAGGAGGAAGACGAACAUAUAGCCCCUACACUAAUAUUUUGAUAAUGGGGUAUUUUUGUCUUAACAAAUUCGUAACUUAGGUAUAUGAGCCUUGACGAGCCAUUAGGUGGAAUCAUUUCAACACAAGAGGGAAAAUCCGGGCUCUUAGAAGGAAAAUUUUCUCUUGAGAAGGUGUUGAAGGAACUUCUAGUAAAAGGACGCAUUGCUCUACUGCAGACCAAGUCCGAUCAAGAUUCAGAGCUAUACAAUUUUGAAAUUGGUAAGAGCCUGAAGCUUCCUUUGCAAAUGUGUCUUAAAUUUAUCUGUGAGAGGCUAGGGUUAAUCCCAAAAAGGUGGCAGGCAGAUUCCACGACCCAACUGCAUCUUCUUCGAAAUACAACUCCAUUUAUCAUCAGAUGUUUCUCGGCAUCCAACCAGCAUUCUUUCACUGUGUCUUACCUCGUAAACUCAUGUGGGUUGUCCCCAGAAACUGCUAUUUCUGCAUCCGAGAAGAUACACUUUGAAAACCCUAAAAACCCAGAUUCCGUUCUCGCUCUUCUCAGAAACUCGGGAUGUACCAACACCCAUAUCACCAAAAUUGUAACCAAGCUUCCUUCACUGCUCUUGGUCGAUCCUGAGAAGACCCUUUUGCCCAAACUCGAAUUUUUUUGUUCUAUGGGCUUUUCUAGUGCUCGUGUUGCUAGCAUGCUCUCUCCCGAUCCAAGUCUCUUGGGUAGGAGCUUAGAAAAGGUUCUAAUUCCCAAGUAUAAUUUCCUCAAGAGUGUACACAUCAGUAAUGAAGAUGCCAUAAAGGUUCUCAGGAGGUCAUCCUGGAGUUCUAGUGGAAAUCUGGAGAGGAACAUAGCUGCCAAUAUUGCAGUUCUGAGAGAAACUGGAGUUCCCAUAUCCCGUAUUUCAUAUUUAGUGACGCGUUAUCACGCAAUCUCCCUAAGAAGUGAUAAAUUCAGUGAAAAUGUCAAGAAGGUUGUGGAAAUGGGAUUUAAUCCUUUGAAAUUUACUUUCCUGGAUGCACUCCAAGCAUUCUGUCAAACGACUGAAUCAACUCGGCAACAAAAAAUGGAGAUGUAUAGGAGGUGGGGUUGGUCUGAAGAUGAGAUUCUAUCGGCAUUCAGACGUCGUCCACAAUGUAUGCAAUUGUCUGAGAAGAAAGUUAACAAGGUGUUGGAUUUCCUUGUGAACAAAAUGGGUUGGCAGCCUGCAGUUGUUGCUAGGGCUCCAGUAGCUAUCUGCCUCAAUUUUGAGAAGAGGGUUGUUCCAAGGUGUUCAGUGGUGAAAGUUCUGUUAUUGAAAGGGUUGAUAAAGAAGGAUUUGAAGUUAGGUACUUUUCUGAAUCUCCCUGUUGGGGAUUUCUUGGAUAAGUAUGUAAUCAAAUAUGAGGAUGAUAUUCCUCAGUUACUAGAUGUAUAUAAAGGGAAGGUGAGUUUUAUGGAGCUUAGGAGAUAGUGAUACAUGGCAUGAAAUGAUUGUAGCAUUUCAACUUUACAAGCCCAAGUAGUUACCAUUCUUUCCUAAGUGUUGUUAUAUUUCUGGCACAUCAGUUUUUGCACUAUUUUGAUAAUUGUCUUAACCAACUUCUGCUGGUGGCAACCGCCUACGAUUUCUUCUUUUGGUUUUGUUUAUGAUGGGCAAUACAUGCCUUAAGAGUAGAUGGAGAUAUGUAUUCAAUGAUGAAACAAAAAAGUAGGUUUGAAAACCCCAAAGUUUUGUAUGGCUUAGUUUCUAAAGUUUGGUUUGCAGAUUUCUCUGGUAUAUUGGAGUGCUUAUCAUUCUCCUUUCCUCCAUGGGAAGUUCCCUAUGGUAACUAAAAGGUGUAUUUUGUUUUGCCAAUCAAUAUAUGAAUUUAACUGAAUUUACUCUUCAUUGUGUUUGCAGUUGGUGAAAUGGUGGUUUAACCAAGUUUCUGUUGGGGAUUUUUAAGUCAUGUCUCUUAGUUUUGUUGUUCAGUUCAAAGCAGAAGAGCUUCAGAGCUAUCUGUCCAUAGUUUCUUUCUUUCUUUCUUUCUUUGAUGUGAAACCAAAAACUUCAAUGCAAUAAAAGGGGAGGAUUACAUAGAGAAGGAUGGGUGGUUUGGAUUCUAGCAGGGACUAGGACCAAUUUUCUAAACAAUGCCCCACAAAGGGAAGCCAAGCUUCAACAUGGUCAAGUGAUUCUAACCCUUGUCCCAAGUGGUUCAACAUGGUUUCAUUUCAUUUAGUAGGUCCUUUCUUGCCAUCCUAUCCUUUAUAUUUGUAUUAAUCUUUAUUUCGAAGAUUUCUUUUGUUUACUUAUUCAUUUUUCCAUUGUGAGGGAAAGAAAAUCUUUCUCUUCUAAGCUUGUUUGCCAACCAAAAGGUAUUUGAGUAAGGUUGAAAUUUAAUUUCAACCUCUUUUAGGCUAUGUUUGGUUUUUGAAAAAUUUGAAGGAAAGAAAAAUUGAGAGAAAAGGUAAAAGGAAAGAAAAAGGGUAGACAAAUUAAAAAAUAAAUUAUUUUUAUAUAUUACUUCAAACUUUUUUAACAAAUUUAACUCUUCUAUAUAUAGAUUAAAUCAUUUAAAAAUAUACAAAAUUUUAAUAAUUUUAAUUAUAUUUAAUUUCUUUUAUAUUUUUCACAAGUAUAAAAAAAUCAUUUUUCUUAAUAUUUUUUUUUUCUUUUUUUACUGCUUUCCGAGAAGCAAACACAAUCUUAUUAUUAUUUGUUUUAAAUCUAUAUGCUAGUAUUAUUUUUGUUCCUUGUGAAUAUAAUUUAGAGUUUAUUAUUUUUGUAAUUUUUGAUAAACAUUUUUUUUAGUAAAAAUAGUUAAAAUAACAUUUAGUAAUAAUUUAAAAGUAAAGGCAUUUAAAAAAAAUUAAAAUAUUAUAUGAACUUGAAAAAGGAGACAUCGGAAGGGUUAUUCGGAGGAAUAGUCCUAAACUCAAGAAUGUCUAUAGUGUCUAAUAUUUCAAAAAUGUCUAGAAUUUUUUUUAUUUUAAAUCACAACUUUCUUUAAAAAAUUGUUAAGGGUUUUGGAGAGAUUGAAUGGAAAGAAAGAUCGGAAGAGUCUGUAUGGAAUGCCAUGGGUAUUUUUGUCUUAACAAAUUCGUAAUUUAGGUAUAUGUGCCUAUGACCAGCCAUUAGGAAGCAUUUCAAGACGAGGGAAAAUCCGGGCUCAAAGGGUAAAUUUUUUCUGGAGAAGGUGUUGAAGGAACUUCCGGUAGAAGGACGCAUUGCUCUACUGCAGACCAAGUCCGAUCAAGAUUCAGAGCUAUACGAUUUUGAAAUUGGUAAGAGCCUGAAGCUUCCUUUGCAAAUGCGUCUUAAAUUUAUCUGUGAGAGACUAGGGUUAAUCCCAAAAUGGUGGCAGGCAGAUUCCACGACCCAACUGCAUUUUCUUCGAAAUACAACUCCAUUUAUCAUCAGAUUGUUCUCGGCAUCCAACCAGCAUUCUUUUACUGUGUCUUACCUCGUAAAGUCAUGUGGGUUGUCCCCAGAAACUGCUAUUUCUGCAUCCGAGAAGAUACACUUUGAAAACCCUAAAAAUCCAGAUUCUGUUCUCGCUCUUCUCAGAGACUCUGGAUGUACCAACACCCAUAUCGCCAAAAUCGUAACCAAGCUUCCUUCACUGCUCUUGGUCAAUCCUGAGAAGACCCUUUUGCCCAAACUCGAAUUUUUUCGUUCUAUGGGCCUUUCUAGUGCUGAUCUUGCUAGCAUCCUCUCUUCUGAGCCAAGUAUCUUGAAUAAGAGCUUAGAAAAGGUUCUAAUUCCCAAGCAUAAUUUCCUCAAGAGUGUACAUGUAAAUAAUGAAGGUGCCAUGAAGAUUCUCAAGAGGUCAUCCUGGAGUUCUAGUGGAAAGACCAUAGCUGCCAAUAUUGCUGUUCUGAGAGAAAUUGGAGUUCCCAUAUCCCAUAUCUCAUUUUUAGUGGUGCGUUAUCACACAAUCUGCCAAAAAAGUGAUAAAUUCAGUGAAAAUGUCAAGAAGGUUGUGGAAAUGGGAUUUAAUCCUUUGAAAUUUACUUUCGUGAAUGCACUCCAAGCAUUCUGUCAAAUGACUGAAUCAACUCGGCAACAAAAAAUGGAGAUGUAUAGGAGGUGGGGUUGGUCUGAAGAUGAGAUUGUGUCGGCAUUCAGAAGUCGUC
This 5770-nucleotide long non-coding RNA is filed under the name Vitis vinifera (wine grape). Its description in RNAcentral is "long non-coding RNA (VVIN_LNC002110)". The record is from RNAcentral. Lineage: Eukaryota; Viridiplantae; Streptophyta; Magnoliopsida; Vitales; Vitaceae.